Molecule: ribosomal RNA, 908 nt
Filed under: uncultured bacterium
Lineage: Bacteria
Description: bacterial SSU rRNA
Rfam family: Bacterial small subunit ribosomal RNA
Source: RNAcentral
ACGCUGGCGGCAGGCUUAACACAUGCAAGUCGAACGGUAACAGGGAUUAGCUUGCUAAUCUGCUGACGAGUGGCGGACGGGUGAGUAAUGCUUGGGAAUCUGGCUUAUGGAGGGGGAUAACUACGGGAAACUGUAGCUAAUACCGCGUAAAAUCUUCGGAUUAAAGGGUGGGACUUUCGAGCCACCUGCCAUAAGAUGAGCCCAAGUGGGAUUAGGUAGUUGGUUAGGUAAAGGCUGACCAAGCCGACGAUCUCUAGCUGGUCUGAGAGGAUGACCAGCCACACUGGAACUGAGACACGGUCCAGACUCCUACGGGAGGCAGCAGUGGGGAAUAUUGCACAAUGGGGGGAACCCUGAUGCAGCCAUGCCGCGUGAAUGAAGAAGGCCUUCGGGUUGUAAAGUUCUUUCGGUGACGAGGAAGGUUGGUAGGUUAAUAGCCUAUCAAAUUGACGUUAAUCACAGAAGAAGCACCGGCUAACUCCGUGCCAGCAGCCGCGGUAAUACGGGGGGUGCGAGCGUUAAUCGGAAUAACUGGGCGUAAAGGGCACGCAGGCGGUGACUUAAGUGAGAUGUGAAAGCCCCGAGCUUAACUUGGGAAUUGCAUUUCAUACUGGGUCGCUAGAGUACUUUAGGGAGGGGUAGAACUCCACGUGUAGCGGUGAAAUGCGUAGAGAUGUGGAGGAAUACCGAAGGCGAAGGCAGCACCUUGGGAAUGUACUGACGCUCAUGUGCGAAAGCGUGGGGAGCAAACAGGAUUAGAUACCCUGGUAGUCCACGCUGUAAACGAUGUCGAUUUGGGGAUUGGGCUUUGAGCUUGGUGCCCGUAGCUAACGUGAUAAAUCGACCGCCUGGGGAGUACGGCCGCAAGGUUAAAACUCAAAUGAAUUGACGGGGGCCCGCACAAGCGG